CACACCACACAUAGUUCCAUCAGCGAUCGGCAGUGUUUGCUUGGUGAGAGCAAAAGAGCGUAACAUUGGCGCGUGUCUCAAGUUGAGACGCGGCAAGAGGGAUGGAAACUGUUGCUGAGACGUUUUUUUCCUCUCUAUUGUCCAUGCACCAAAAAAUGCCAACAACAACACACAAAGAGCUGUUUGGAUGUUUUUUUGUUGCUGAGACGUUGCUUCUUACUAAUGUUCAUGCAUACAUACAUACAUGCGUUUUUCGCAUACACACCGAUUUGCUUGAUGAGAACAAAAGAGCGUAACAUUUGCGCGUGUCUCAUGUUGGCAUUCUGGUUGUGUUCUUUUUUUAUACUUUUUAUUUGUUUUGUGCCUUCGCGUCGUGUCACAAGUGUUGUAAUAAAUGUUGAUACCAACUGUUUUGGGGGAAGACUAAUUAUUUGUCGAAGCGCCGGAGCCUUUAAAUCUACAAAGCUUUAUAAAAGCAGCCAAAUUAGAGUUAAAAAUUGAUGCCUCAAGAAAAAUAACAGCCUUAGUGUUUGGUGCAACCAUUAAAGAAGACCAGUUUGAAAAAGUAAUUCAUCAAUAUAUGUCAACACCUACUUUUCAUAUUGAGUUGCAAUUUGGAGACUCCGUUCGAUCAGUGGCAUCAGCAUCGACAGUUAGUGGCACUCUAUCGGAGUGUGAAUCCGUAGGUGGUUUUGGGGAUCUUACCCCAAAAACAAAUGUUAUUUCAACUUUAAAGACUGACAUAGAGUCCAUCAAGUCAAUUCCGGCUGUCAACAAAAUAUGGAGAAUUUUUAUUGCCGAAAAACGCCUGCAAAAUAAAGAUAGGGUGAAUAUUUCGAAGGCCCUUAUUGACGAAUGUCUAAAAGAAGACCCUAACAGAUUGUAAGUAUUUUACUUUAUUGAAAAAAUAGUGA
Molecule: long non-coding RNA, 914 nt
Organism: Musca domestica (house fly)
Lineage: Eukaryota; Metazoa; Arthropoda; Insecta; Diptera; Muscidae
Exons: 2
Source: RefSeq, a predicted model, not a curated record